Long non-coding RNA from Mastomys coucha (southern multimammate mouse), 1666 nucleotides. RefSeq lists it as uncharacterized. The transcript is spliced from 3 exons. Lineage: Eukaryota; Metazoa; Chordata; Mammalia; Rodentia; Muridae. The record is from RefSeq and is a predicted model, not a curated record.
CUGAAAUGGCCCAACGGCGCGCAGAGCCCAGUGGCACAGAAAGUGUGCUGUUCUUGCUGUUUCGGGCUGUACUCUGUGGCUCUGCGCCUCCAAGGCUUUGCUGCCUGGCGAGCGUCCUCCCGGUACCACAAACCCGAGGCUUCUAUGGGAUAUUCUGGAUUCUCCAUAGGAGUUUCUCCCGGCGCGGAUUGUGUUUGAGCUGACGAUGCUCGUAGAAGAAAAGGCGCAGAGCUGUGCCAGGAGGCAGCAUGCACCGGUCAGAGCCCUCGGUGGCCUCCUCCGGCUGCUCUUGGCGCUGGUCCGCUCCUGGAGACCGCUCCGCAGCCGCCUGGGAGGCGAGGCGCGCAAUCUCCGCGCUACCCACGCGGGCCCGGGGUGCGUUGGCCGCACUUUGGCUUUGGGCGCUGGAUGGACAGUGGGGUAAAGGGUGAGGGCUCCGGGUCCCCUAACGUGGAUUACUUGGUGCUUAUCAACUGGAUUUAGAAGACUCACGACCUGGUCUCCAUCAUCCGUGGAUUGUCUUUCCAUCUCCCAGCGGCUCUUCCACCUGGAGGUGAAACCAGAGCUUCUGCCUGCAUGGAACAGGGGCAAGAGAAAGGCCUAGAGGGAGACUGAUCAAGGGCUGAUCCUGCUCGUCCAUGCUACUUACCAGGCACUGUGGAACCAUGGGAAAUAUGACCCUGGCCCUCUCUUCAGGAUCUGGCUGAGAACUGGCUGCCUCUUGAGAGGCUAGAGCCCUGGAUUCAAUUGAGGAACAUUAUGUUGGAGAAUAUAGAAACUUCUAAACUGUCUAGAAUGUGCAGACAUUUGGGAAGGAAUAAUCUGUUUUGACUUGAAUGAACAAAGAUGUACAUCUCUGGACAUGGAGAAGGCUCACCAGCUCAGCUCAUGUACUGUCUGGUGGCAAACAAGUCCCCUGCUGCCACUACCCAGGACACUCUUCUCUACUCUGUCCCUGUCCAGAUACUGCACCCUUCCCUGCCUGACCCCACCUCCUCUGCCCACCUCCCGUCUGAACCCAGAGAUUCUUUUUGUUUGCUCUAUUAUCCUUGAGCCGGAUACAGGGUGAAUAGUUAACUACACUUGGGUUGGAUGGGAUCUUGAUUUUUACUUCUGUUCCGUGGAAAGAGGUCAGUCUCUGUGCAUGGCACCUGGUCUGGAAGCCAGCACAAGACUCCAGAGUGAUACAAGAUCUGCCUGGAUGGUCCCAUGGGCUCUUUGGAGGUCAGAGCGAGAGGAGCAGCCUGAGCAGGGGCUGAGGAGGGCCGGCACUGGAUCACACACAGUACAUCUGGAAAGGCAGAGAUGAGCUCACUGUUCAUUCCAUCUUCUGCGACACAAAUGCAAGGAGGUGUGAAGACUCUCUUCAGAGGCUGUAAUGAGAGAUCAACUUACCCUGGGGCUUCUUGCCUGAGCAGCCAGCUCUGUGGGUAGUGCCUCCUGAGGACCUCUUUCCUCUACUGUAUGCUGAUGACACUCACAGUGGAGCUAGAGCCUUCUCUGUUCCUUUUGUCUAUGGUCUCCACUUGUGCAGUGGAGGAAUCCUUCCUAAUCAUGCCUUGAUUUCCCCCUUCUUGACUACACUCAAAGAUGUUUGAGUUGUUUUGCUUGCAAAAUGGAUGGACAGUUUGUUUAUAUAAAACAAUCCAAGCUUCCUUGUGCUGCA